RNAcentral lists this long non-coding RNA (1480 nucleotides) under Cricetulus griseus (Chinese hamster). RNAcentral describes it as "lncRNA (ENSCGRG00015038334.1)". Lineage: Eukaryota; Metazoa; Chordata; Mammalia; Rodentia; Cricetidae. The record is from RNAcentral.
UGUAGAUAAGAGUGAAAACGUGUCAAGCGUGGCAGAGUGUGAUUAACAGACUUAGCAACUAUUUAAGGACCAGCUCAGAACUGGGAAUUUUAGAGUGAACCACGACUCUAUGUCCUGGAGCUCUCCUCCGCUAACCUGACAACCAGUCCAUCAAGCUGGGUGCCGCCUGUUCUGAGCCUGAUUUCCAUGACACCAGGCCCUCAGGAGACUGAAUACAGAGGAAGGCCCCAGCUGGAACUUGUGGGCCGCUGCAGGAGAGGAUUCUUGUUUAAGUUCCAGGGAGCUGAAUUGGAUCCAAACAAACAGGUCUAAGAGGCGCCAGAGAGUUCCACACAGCCUGGACUUCGAUGAAACAACCAGCUACCCCAGGAUGUGGCAGCACCCCAACCUUCUCGGGUCCCCCAAAGAGAUGGUCAAUACCCAUGUCAGCAGGAAGCUGUUUUGAGAAUUCGACGCCCCUUAUUCCUUAACCUGCCAUGUCCAACACCCCACCUUUUUUAAAAUAAGGUGGGAUUGAAAGGCUCAGGCAUUAUGCUGGCCUGCCCCUGUUACCUGGUGUAACAGGCAGUACCCUGGUCAGCCCAGGGUUCCAUGGGAACAAAGUCUGCACGCAGGUGCAGAGGACCCCUUUAAAAGACAGAGCCAUGCCCAUUUACGCUGUCUCUACACUUCUCUCUGCUCUCUACUCUCUACACUUUUCGCUCUGCUCUUGUCUGCUUCUGCUUUUCUCUCUUCUCUGUGGUCAGCCAUUAACCGUGUUCCUCUUCUCCUUUAGUCUCCCUACUCUACCGGGCCUAUAAUAAUGGUUACUAUGUCUAAUAUGUCUCAUCCUGUGUCUCAUCCUGUGCCUUCCUCCUUUUCUUUAUAAUUUAAACAAAAGUCUAACAAUGGGGCCCAGUCAAAGAAGAAAGUAGUGUCCUGUACUAUAAACAGAGAAGCCAUUUGGUUUCCUUCCACCUUCCUGAGCCUUUUUUUUCUUUUAAAAUUUUAUUUAUUAUGCAUACAGUGAUCUGCCUACAUGUUUGCCUACAGGCUAGAAGAGGGCAUCAGAUCUCAUUACGGAUGGCUGUGAGCCACCAUGUGGUUGCUGGGAAUUGAACUCGGGACCUCUGGAAGAGCAGCCAGUUCUCUCAACCUCUGAGCCAUCUCUCCAGCCCCUUUCCUGAGCCUUUAAAUACAUAUUUGUGGGUCCUGGUGAAAUCAUCCACGUGUAUGCUGUUGUGUUUUGUGAGACAUGUUCUUACAGUCCGGGCUGACUUCAAACUCGCAAUCCUGCUCAUUCUUCUACUGCUGGAGUAAACCAUCAUGCCUGACUUCAGGCUUAUUUCAUUCGUUCCUGUGUGCCUGCACCUCUGGAUGACAGAGGAAAACCUUGUGUGUCAUCCCUCAGUAGCCAUGCAAUGUGCACACGUGGGAUAUGCUUGCCCACAAGUGAACACAAGGAAGCCUGCAUACACUCUCUAUUGUAGUCUCUUGGGCC